GUAGUCUCGCACAGAUGCAUAUCAAUAAGCGGAGGAAAAGAAACUAACAAGGAUUCCCUUAGUAACGGCGAGUGAAGCGGGAAGAGCUCAAAUUUGAAAUCUUCAAGGUUUUACCUUGACGAAUUGUAGUUUAAAGAAGUGUUUUCUGUUGAAGUUUUGGUAAAAGUUCUUUGGAAUAGGACAUCACUAGAGGGUGAGAAUCCCGUCUAUGAUUGCAUAUUUGUAGCUGUGUGAUACACUUUCAAAGAGUCGGAUUGUUUGGGAAUGCAGUCCAAAACUGGGUGGUAAAUUUCAUCUAAGCUAAAUAUUGGCGAGAGACCGAUAGCGAACAAGUACCGUGAGGGAAAGAUGAAAAGAACUUUGAAAAGAGAGUUAAACAGUACGUGAAAUUGUCAAAAGGGAAGCGUUUGACACCAGUGUUGUUUUCUCGAAAAUCAAUUAAAAAGAGUUAGAUUUUGUUGUGUAUUGACCUUAACAGCUUGCAUUUCAAUUUUCUUGCUUUCUUUAAUGCACUUUUCGUUUAACAAGUCAACAUCAGUUUCUUUUGUUGUAAAAAGGUCAUUGGAAGGUGGCUUUCUUUUCGGAGAAAGUGUUUAUAGCCUUUGACUCCUGCAAUCGGAGAGACUGAGGUCUGCAGCGUAGAUCCUUCGGGGUUAGAUACAUUUGUGCUAAGUUAUAGCUUUUUAUAGACAACUUGUUGACUAUGAUUAGUCUUGUAGCUUACUCGCUUAUGCUAUUUUACCUACGCUUAGGAUGUUGAAGAUGUAGCACAUCAU
This 776-nucleotide ribosomal RNA is filed under the name uncultured Neocallimastigales. RNAcentral's name for it is "partial large subunit ribosomal RNA". It matches the Rfam family "Eukaryotic large subunit ribosomal RNA", at positions 24 to 620 of the family's 3401-position model. Lineage: Eukaryota; Fungi; Neocallimastigomycota; Neocallimastigomycetes; Neocallimastigales. The record is from RNAcentral.